RNAcentral lists this ribosomal RNA (422 nucleotides) under uncultured bacterium. Its description in RNAcentral is "bacterial SSU rRNA". It matches the Rfam family "Bacterial small subunit ribosomal RNA", at positions 355 to 774 of the family's 1533-position model. The record is from RNAcentral.
UGAGGAAUAUUGGUCAAUGGCCGCGAGGCUGAACCAGCCAAGUAGCGUGAAGGAUGACGGCCCUACGGGUUGUAAACUUCUUUUAUGCGGGAUUAACGUGAGGUACGUGUACCUUCUUGCAGGUACCGCAUGAAUAAGCAUCGGCUAACUCCGUGCCAGCAGCCGCGGUAAUACGGAGGAUGCAGGCGUUAUCCGGAUUUAUUGGGUUUAAAGGGAGCGCAGACGGCAUGUCAAGUCAGCUGUGAAAGUUCGGGGCUCAACCUUGGAAUUGCAGUUGAAACUGGCGUGCUUGAGUUCGGUCGAGGCAGGCGGAAUUCGUGGUGUAGCGGUGAAAUGCUUAGAUAUCACGAAGAACCCCGAUUGCGAAGGCAGCCUGCCAGGCCUGGACUGACGUUGAGGCUCGAAGGUGCGGGUAUCGAACA